CCAAACUUAGCACGCCUAUGGACCCCAAAAAAAAGAAAAAAAAAACGAGUUGUUUCACAGUUCUGCCAAAACAGGACAAGACAAUGGUUUGCGGAGCGAGUGUCCAGUUCCAGGCCCCUACCCGGUUCGAGGGCGGUGAACAAUGGGCGAGCUAGGUAGAUCGGGUUACGUCCGGUUGCCCCGCACUCCUCCGAACCGGGAUCCUCGGGAAAUCAACGCAACUCGCAGCAAAUUAAAAUAAAACUCAGAGAAACCUACGUAGGGAGAGUCACACGUCGUCGAGGGUCGGCGGUCGAGGUCCGAGGGUCGGCGGUCGAGGUCCGAGCGCGACGAUCGAUCGUCGUCGUCUUCUUCGGUCGGAACUCGAGGCUAGCGC
Molecule: long non-coding RNA, 376 nt
Filed under: Eucalyptus grandis
Lineage: Eukaryota; Viridiplantae; Streptophyta; Magnoliopsida; Myrtales; Myrtaceae
Description: long non-coding RNA (EGRA_LNC006487)
Source: RNAcentral